GAUGAACGCUGGCGGCGUGCCUAACACAUGCAAGUCGAGCGGAGAUUAAGAAGCUUGCUUCUUAAUCUUAGCGGCGGACGGGUGAGUAACGCGUGGGUAACCUGCCCUAUACACACGGAUAACAUAUCGAAAGAUAUGCUAAUACGAGAUAAUACAUUUUUAAGGCAUCUUAGAAAUGUCAAAGAUUUUAUCGGUGUAGGAUGGACCCGCGUCCCAUUAGCUAGUUGGUGAGGUAAAAGCUCACCAAGGCGACGAUGGGUAGCCGACCUGAGAGGGUGAUCGGCCACACUGGAACUGAGACACGGUCCAGACUCCUACGGGAGGCAGCAGUGGGGAAUAUUGCACAAUGGGGGAAACCCUGAUGCAGCAACGCCGCGUGAGCGAUGAAGGCCUUCGGGUCGUAAAGCUCUGUCCUAAGGGAAGAUAAUGACGGUACCUUAGGAGGAAGCCCCGGCUAACUACGUG
Molecule: ribosomal RNA, 465 nt
Filed under: uncultured bacterium
Lineage: Bacteria
Description: bacterial SSU rRNA
Rfam family: Bacterial small subunit ribosomal RNA
Source: RNAcentral